Molecule: transfer RNA, 74 nt
Filed under: Haloarcula vallismortis
Lineage: Archaea; Methanobacteriati; Methanobacteriota; Halobacteria; Halobacteriales; Haloarculaceae
Also listed under: 1 other name
Description: tRNA_Thr_TGT
Rfam family: tRNA
About the family: Transfer RNA (tRNA) molecules are approximately 80 nucleotides in length. Their secondary structure includes four short double-helical elements and three loops (D, anti-codon, and T loops). Further hydrogen bonds mediate the characteristic L-shaped molecular structure. tRNAs have two regions of fundamental functional importance: the anti-codon, which is responsible for specific mRNA codon recognition, and the 3' end, to which the tRNAs corresponding amino acid is attached (by aminoacyl-tRNA synthetases). tRNAs cope with the degeneracy of the genetic code in two manners: having more than one tRNA (with a specific anti-codon) for a particular amino acid; and 'wobble' base-pairing, i.e. permitting non-standard base-pairing at the 3rd anti-codon position.
Source: RNAcentral
UCCAGCGUAGCUCAAUCCAGUAGAGCAGCCGCCUUGUAAGCGGCAGGUUGCGGGUGCAGAUCCCGCCGCUGGAU